UAGGGAAUCUUCCACAAUGGACGAAAGUCUGAUGGAGCAACGCCGCGUGAGUGAAGAAGGGUUUCGGCUCGUAAAACUCUGUUGUUAAAGAAGAACAUAUCUGAGAGUAACUGUUCAGGUAUUGACGGUAUUAACCAGAAAGCCACGGCUAACUACGUGCCAA
RNAcentral lists this ribosomal RNA (163 nucleotides) under uncultured bacterium. RNAcentral describes it as "partial 16S ribosomal RNA". It matches the Rfam family "Bacterial small subunit ribosomal RNA", at positions 355 to 511 of the family's 1533-position model. The record is from RNAcentral.